ACUGGGGUCGAAGUAUUGAAGAGUGGGCCAGGUUCUCUGUUUUCCUCCAGGUCCAGGCGGCUGGGCAGGGCCAACGUAGGAAAUGAAGAACUGUGCACGGCGCACCCCAGGAAUUCAGCUUCCUCUCAAAAGCCAUGGUUGCGAGGUCGCGUGUUUAACCUCGCACUGGCUGCUGAGGGAAUUAACAGGCCUGCGCAGCAGCUUCGUUAGCUUCGAAAGAAAAUGGGCCCCGGCUCCCGCAGGAGGCCCGCCUGGCGCGCAGAUGUCGUUAUUAGAAUCCGGGACGUCGGUGGACCCUCUGGGUCUGGCUCCCUCGGGGCUUACGAUGAAAAAAACUGGGGGGCGCGUGUGUGUGUAUGUUGUGUUUUAUAUUAUGAGAAUUCUGAAACAUUUAGCAGAAGCAGUAUAUUACUCCCCAUAGUGCAGUUAGCUACCUUUUACCUGUUUCAUUGGCUCCACCAUACAUUUCUAGUGUUUUAAGGGAAACCGUUUCAUUCAUAAAUACCCUAAGUGUAUAUAUUUAAUAUCUAAGAGACAACUUUUAAAGGCAUAACGAUGUAAUCUCAUCUAAUGAAAUUAACAAUUCCUUAAUCUAAUUCCCAGUCCAUAUUUAGGUUUUUCAGAUGAUCUCAUGUCCUUUUACAAUUGGUUUGUGGCAUCCGGGUCCAAACCAAGGUCCACAUGUUGCAUCUGGACCACGUGUUUAAGCCUCUUACUUGAUAGCUUUAAAAUUAGCUAACACCAGAGGUUUAGAUGGUGUAAGGCAAGUCUGGCCACCAGGUGACUUGAUUUACAUUCGUUUUAGUUUCGCUCAGAAAGUAUGCUGUGCAUCUACCAAGUGCUAUGAUGUACAGAGGCCUGGUCCGGGGAGAGGAGUGUUACAAAAGUGCCUGCCUUCAACCCAUUUACGGUUUAUGGAGACAGAAAAGUAAGGUUUUCUGAUCCCUUGGAACCUGAACUGAUAGCAAAGACUUCAGCAUAAGCAUCUCACUCAGGAUAAUGUUUCUUCCUUGGCGUUCCCUUUGACCUAGUUGUGGAGGGCCUGAAUUCCAUGACAAGGACUCUGAAAUUUAGCUUGAAAACCCUAAGAGUAAUCAGUGAUAAGUCAUUAAUAGUCCUUAAACCCUUUUCCUCAAAUCCCAUCUGAAAUCCUGCUCCCUCUGUGAAGUCUUCCUUUACUGGGCACUGGUGAACACUGCUAUCUCAUUCGAGUUCCCACCACCCUUCGUUUGUACCUUUUGUGGUAGGAUCUCGAACUCUUUUGUUUUUUUUUUUUUUUUUUUUUUUUUACUUGAAACAGCGUCUCGUUAUGUCGCUCAGGCUGGAGUGCAGUGGCGCCAUCUCAGCUCGCUGCAACCUCCACCUCCCGGCUUCAAGUGAUUCUCCCACCUCAGCCUCUCGAGUAGCUGGGAUUACAGGCGCCCACCACCAUGCCCGGCUAAUUUUUGUAUUUUUAGUAGAGGUGGAGCUUCACCAUGUUGACCAGGCUGGUCUCGAACUCCUGAUCUCAAAUCAUCCACCCACCUUGGCCUCCCAAAGUGCUGGGAUUGCAGGCCUGAGCCACUGCCUCUGCCAACCGCCAUUGCCGUGUAAAUGCUGACGUCAUCCUCAUGCACGGCUGUAAAAUCCAAUUCUCUACUUUUCACAUUUUGAGAUGUUCGUAAGAGACGGUGUAAAGUUAUGGCGAGGUUAGACUGUGUAGGUUGGUAGUCUGACUCUGCCAUUUAGGAACAAUGUGACCUUCAGCAAGUUACUUAACUUUUCUGAGGUUUCCUCAGGUGUAAGAUGGGGCUUGUUAUUUUUUAUAUCAUUGGUUUAAAAGAGUUAUACAUUUCUAUUACUUAGGGCUGGGCGCAGUGGCCUGUAAUCCCAGAACUUUGGGAGGCUGAGGCGGGAUCACUCCUGCCUCAAGUCCUGAUCACUUGAGGUCAGGAGUUCGAGACCAGCCUGGUCAACAUGGCAAGACCCCGUCUCUAUUAAAAACACAAAAAUUAGCUGGGGGUGGUUGCGCACGCCUGUAGUCCCAGCUACUCGGGAGGCUGAGGUGGGAGAAUCCCUUGAGCCCAGGAGGUGGGGGUUGCAGUGAGCCAAGAUCACACCACU
Molecule: long non-coding RNA, 2103 nt
Filed under: Homo sapiens (human)
Lineage: Eukaryota; Metazoa; Chordata; Mammalia; Primates; Hominidae
Description: non-protein coding lnc-GPT2-1:7
Source: RNAcentral